This 276-nucleotide ribosomal RNA is filed under the name uncultured bacterium. Its description in RNAcentral is "partial 16S ribosomal RNA". The record is from RNAcentral.
CUGCUGCCUUCCGUAGGAGUCUGGUCCGUGUCUCAGUACCAGUGUGGGGGACCUUCCUCUCAGAACCCCUACGCAUCGUCGGUUAGGUGGGCCGUUACCCCGCCUACUGCCUAAUGCGCCGCAUGCCCAUCCCUGUCCCGGCCGAAGCCUUUCCUGCCUCCGGGAUGCCCCGGUGGCAUGUACGCGGGUUUAGCCCGCCUUUCGGCGGGUUGUCCCCCUGACAGGGGCAGGUUGCAUACGUGUUACUCACCCGUGCGCCGGUCGCCGGCGGAGAAA